Molecule: ribosomal RNA, 253 nt
Filed under: uncultured bacterium
Lineage: Bacteria
Description: partial 16S ribosomal RNA
Rfam family: Bacterial small subunit ribosomal RNA
Source: RNAcentral
UACGUAGGGUGCAGGCGUUGUCCGGAAUUACUGGGCGUAAAGAGCUCGUAGGUGGUUUGUCGCGUUGUUCGUGAAAACUCACAGCUCAACUGUGGGCGUGCGGGCGAUACGGGCAGACUUGAGUACUGCAGGGGAGACUGGAAUUCCUGGUGUAGCGGUGGAAUGCGCAGAUAUCAGGAGGAACACCGGUGGCGAAGGCGGGUCUCUGGGCAGUAACUGACGCUGAGGAGCGAAAGCGUGGGGAGCGAACAGG